UAUGAAAUCAGCAGUUACCUUGGAAUUUAGAGAAGAUGAACGCUUUUUAAUCUGACAGUCAUCUGAAAGGAAAGACAUUUUCACAUUUAAAGUUUUUGAGAAUUAUCUUAUGCGUGUGCUUUCCUCGCAUGUAUGUCUGUCUGUGCAGCUCAUCAGAUCCCCUGGAGCCAGAGUUAUGGAUAGCUGUGAGCCACUAUGUGGGUGUUAGGAGCCCUGAAAAGGCAACAGGUGAUCUUAACCACUGAGCCACCUCUCUCCAGCCCCCAUACUUUUCCAUUUUAAAAACCGCACACUCAUUUAUGGCAAGUAAAAGUCAAAAAGGGUUAGUCUCUAUAGGAGACUAAGACAGGAGGAUUGCUGAGUUCAGGGCCAGCCUGGGCUCCAGAGGCCAGCCUGGGCUACAAAGAGACACUAUUUGCUCAUUUUCUUUUUGUGGUACUGAGGCUCGAACCCAGGGGCUUUCUACAUGUGAGGCAAGCGCUCGACUACUGCACUGUGUCUCCAGCCCCACGAUCCCUGUCUAAACACCAAGGCCCUUGUUUCUGCAGUUGUCCACAGUGCCUGCUAGCCUGCCGAAGACCGUCAAAUAUUGCUGCUCUCCAAAAGAGGGAGCAUCGCAAAAGCAAGAAUUCUGUUCAGAAAAGCUCACGCAUUUUACUCAAAACCACUGUGGGGCUGGAGAGCUGGCUCAGUAGUUAAGAAUUGUGGCUGCUUUUGUGAAGGAUACUACUUUAGUCCCUAGCAUUCCCGUGGUAGCUCAUAACCAUCAGAAGAUCCAGCGCCCUCCUCCUCUAGCCUCUAUGGGCACUGCAUACACAUACAUACUGCAGUCAAGCUGUCAGGCCAAUAAAAUAUAAAUAAAUCUUUAAAAACAUUGU
This 878-nucleotide long non-coding RNA is filed under the name Rattus norvegicus (Norway rat). Its description in RNAcentral is "long non-coding RNA NONRATT021969". Lineage: Eukaryota; Metazoa; Chordata; Mammalia; Rodentia; Muridae. The record is from RNAcentral.